CCUACGGGUGGCAGCAGUGGGGAAUAUUGCACAAUGGGCGCAAGCCUGAUGCAGCCAUGCCGCGUGUGUGAAGAAGGCCUUCGGGUUGUAAAGCACUUUCAGCGGGGAGGAAGGCGGUGAGGUUAAUAACCUCAUCGAUUGACGUUACCCGCAGAAGAAGCACCGGCUAACUCCGUGCCAGCAGCCGCGGUAAUACGGAGGGUGCAAGCGUUAAUCGGAAUUACUGGGCGUAAAGCGCACGCAGGCGGUCUGUCAAGUCGGAUGUGAAAUCCCCGGGCUCAACCUGGGAACUGCAUUCGAAACUGGCAGGCUAGAGUCUUGUAGAGGGGGGUAGAGUUCCAGGUGUAGCGGUGAAAUGCGUAGAGAUCUGGAGGAAUACCGGUGGCGAAGGCGGCCCCCUGGACAAAGACUGACGCUCAGGUGCGAAAGCGUGGGGAGCAAACAGGAUUAGAUACCCUAGUAGUC
This 465-nucleotide ribosomal RNA is filed under the name uncultured Klebsiella sp. RNAcentral's name for it is "bacterial SSU rRNA". It matches the Rfam family "Bacterial small subunit ribosomal RNA", at positions 338 to 795 of the family's 1533-position model. The record is from RNAcentral. Lineage: Bacteria; Pseudomonadati; Pseudomonadota; Gammaproteobacteria; Enterobacterales; Enterobacteriaceae.